RNAcentral lists this ribosomal RNA (435 nucleotides) under uncultured bacterium. RNAcentral describes it as "partial 16S ribosomal RNA". It matches the Rfam family "Bacterial small subunit ribosomal RNA", at positions 30 to 506 of the family's 1533-position model. The record is from RNAcentral.
GCGAACGCUGGCGGCAGGCUUAACACAUGCAAGUCGAGCGGGCAUCCUUGUGGUGUCAGCGGCAGACGGGUGAGUAACGCGUGGGAACGUGCCCUUCGGUUCGGAAUAACUCAGGGAAACUUGAGCUAAUACCGGAUACGUGCGAGAGCAGAAAGGUUUAUCUGCCGAAGGAUCGGCCCGCGUCUGAUUAGCUAGUUGGUGAGGUUAUGGCUCACCAAGGCGACGAUCAGUAGCUGGUCUGAGAGGAUGAUCAGCCACACUGGGACUGAGACACGGCCCAGACUCAUAGGGGAGGGAGGAGGGGGGAAUAUGGGAAAAGGGGGGAAACCCGGAGCCAGCCGGGCCGGGGGAGGGAUGGGGGCUUUAGGGUUGAAAAGCUUUUUUCCCCGGGACGAUAAUGAGGGUACGGGGGAAAAAAGCCCGGGUAAACUUGGU